UACCUGGUGUGGAUUGAAGUUUGGAGAGUCACUUCGCCUCCACUCUUCUCCUAAUCAGCUCUGUUCCUGGCGUGGUCUUCCAGGAUAGACGCCAGAUAAAGGGGCAAGACGUGUGUUAAUAAUACUUAUUAACAUUAUUCUACAACUACCGGCCCUUACCUAUUCUACUUGUGCUCCAUCCAAGUGGUAGGAGAUUCCAGAACAUCGGAUUACCAUCUGCCCAGGAUAACCUACAUAAAUAACAUCAGAGGAACUAUCCAGGGCCAUACCUACUCCUACCCAACUACAAGAACUGAAGGCCAAUUUUUUUUUUCAUUAUAUUUAAAUUUUAAGUAAAAUUCUCAAAUCAUUUUUCUUGUUUUUCCUAAAUCAUUUCUUUAUUUAUUUUUCCAUUAGUUUCUUCUGUUCAGUUGGAAGGCGUUCCACUGACAAUGGCGACCUUGCCAGGAUCCGACUCUUGAAGCAACAUCGUCCUGAUGGUUCAACUGGUUGUGAGUAUAACAUUUAAGAUAGAAAAGGCUCUGUUCCUGGCGUGGUCUUCCAGGAUAGACGCCAGAUAAAGGGGCAAGACGUGUGUUAAUAAUACUUAUUAACAUUAUUCUACAACUACCGGCCCUUACCUAUUCUACUUGUGCUCCAUCCAAGUGGUAGGAGAUUCCAGAACAUCGGAUUACCAUCUGCCCAGGAUAACCUACAUAAAUAACAUCAGAGGAACUAUCCAGGGCCAUACCUACUCCUA
Cherax quadricarinatus is the source of this 739-nucleotide non-coding RNA. The record is from RefSeq and is a predicted model, not a curated record. NCBI's taxonomy places the organism in Eukaryota, Metazoa, Arthropoda, Malacostraca, Decapoda, Parastacidae.